This 1116-nucleotide ribosomal RNA is filed under the name human gut metagenome. Its description in RNAcentral is "bacterial LSU rRNA". It matches the Rfam family "Bacterial large subunit ribosomal RNA", at positions 1805 to 2925 of the family's 2925-position model. The record is from RNAcentral.
UACCAAAAACACAGGUUUGUGCUAAAUCGAAAGAUGACGUAUACGAGCUGACGCCUGCCCGGUGCUGGAAGGUUAAAAGGAGAUGUGCAAGCAUUGAAUUGAAGCCCCAGUGAACGGCGGCCGUAACUAUAACGGUCCUAAGGUAGCGAAAUUCCUUGUCAGGUAAGUUCUGACCCGCAUGAAAGGCGUAAUGAUCUGGGCACUGUCUCAACAGCCCGCCCGGCGAAAUUGUAGUACCGGUGAAGAUGCCGGUUACCCGCGACAAGACGGAAAGACCCCAUGGAGCUUUACUGUAGCCUGAUAUUGGGUUUCGGUGUUGCAUGCACAGGAUAGAUGGGACGCUGGGAAAGAAGCGCUUUGGCGUUUCCGGAGCGGACGUUGGGAUACCAUCCUUGCGACAUUGGAAUUCUAACCUGCGCCUCUGAAUCGAGGCGGGGGACAUUGUCAGGUGGGCAGUUUGACUGGGGCGGUCGCCUCCUAAAAAGUAGCGGAGGCGUUCAAAGGUUCGUUCGAUCUGGACGGAAACCAGAUGAUUGAGUGCAAACGCAUAAACGAGCCUGACUGCGAGACUGACGGGUCGAGCAGAGACGAAAGUCGGAGUUAGUGAUCCGGUGGUAUGUGAGUGGAAAUGCCAUCGCUCAACGGAUAAAAGUUACCCUGGGGAUAACAGGCUGAUCUCCCCCAAGAGUCCACAUCGACGGGGAGGUUUGGCACCUCGAUGUCGGCUCAUCGCAUCCUGGGGCUGAAUUCGGUCCCAAGGGUUUGGCUGUUCGCCAAUUAAAGCGGUACGCGAGCUGGGUUCAGAACGUCGUGAGACAGUUCGGUCCCUAUCUGUCGUGGGCGCAGGAUAUUUGAAAGGCGCUGUCCCUAGUACGAGAGGACCGGGAUGGACGAACCUCUGGUGCACCAGUUGUCACGCCAGUGGCACAGCUGGGCAGCUAUGUUCGGAUCGGAUAAACGCUGAAAGCAUCUAAGCGUGAAGCCGGCCUUAAGAUAAGAUAUCCCACUGAGUCAAUCAGGUAAGACCCCUUGAAGACUACAAGGUUGAUAGGCACACAGUGUAAGCGGAGUGAUCCGUUCAGCUAGCGUGUACUAAUAGGUCGAGGGCUUGACCCC